AGCUCCAAUAGCGUAUAUUAAAUUUGUUGCAGUUAAAAAGCUCGUAGUUGAAUUUCAGGCGAGUCUACUGGUGGUCUGCCUAAUGGGUAUGUACUGCCAGUAGUCGCCUUAUAUCUCUGAUAAUGCUUCCUUUGGUUGCAUGCAUCUAGAUACAUACCGUGAAUAAAUCAGAGUGUUUAAAGCAGGCUUGAUAGCUUGAAUGCAUUAGCAUGGAAUAAUGAAAUAGGACAUUUGGUUCUAUUUUGUUGGUUUGAGAACCAACGUAAUGAUUAAUAGGGACAGUUGGGGGCAUUAGUAUUUCGUGGCUAGAGGUGAAAUUCUUGGACCCACGAAAGACUAACUUCUGCGAAAGCAUUUGCCAAAGAUGUUUUCA
This 373-nucleotide ribosomal RNA is filed under the name uncultured eukaryote. RNAcentral's name for it is "SSU rRNA". It matches the Rfam family "Eukaryotic small subunit ribosomal RNA", at positions 587 to 972 of the family's 1831-position model. The record is from RNAcentral.